UUGAUCAUGGCUCAGAUUGAACGCUGGCUUNCAGGCCUAACACAUGCAAGUCGGACGGCAGCACGGGCUUCGGCCUGGUGGCGAGUGGCGGACGGGUGAGUAGCGCUUGGGAAUCUGCCUGGCAUUGGGGGAUAACUCGGGGAAACUCGAGCUAAUACCGCAUACGCCCUGAGGGGGAAAGCAGGGGACCUGCUUGCAGGCCUUGCGAUGCUGGAUGAGCCCAAGCCGGAUUAGCUGGUUGGUGGGGUAAAGGCCUACCAAGGCGACGAUCCGUAGCUGGUCUGAGAGGAUGAUCAGCCACACUGGGACUGAGACACGGCCCAGACUCCUACGGGAGGCAGCAGUGGGGAAUAUUGGACAAUGGGGGCAACCCUGAUCCAGCCAUGCCGCGUGUGUGAAGAAGGUCUUAGGAUUGUAAAGCACUUUAAGUCAGGAGGAAGUGCCGCUGGCGAAUACUUGGCGACAUUGACGUUACUGACAGAAUAAGCACCGGCUAACUUCGUGCCAGCAGCCGCGGUAAUACGAAGGGUGCGAGCGUUAAUCGGAAUUACUGGGCGUAAAGCGCGCGCAGGCGGUUCGAUAAGAAGGAUGUGAAAUCCCCGGGCUCAACCUGGGCACUGCAUUUUUAACUGUCGGGCUAGAGUACGGUAGAGGGUGGUGGAAUUUCCCGUGUAGCGGUG
Molecule: ribosomal RNA, 680 nt
Filed under: uncultured Pseudomonadota bacterium
Lineage: Bacteria; Pseudomonadati; Pseudomonadota
Description: bacterial SSU rRNA
Rfam family: Bacterial small subunit ribosomal RNA
Source: RNAcentral